UAUUAAAAUUUUCAUCAAUUUUUAUUAUAAAAAAUUAGCGUGACUGACAGAAUAACAAGAUAAUUAAAUAUGGCGUGCCACUUGUACCUUAUGUUAACAUACAAAGAUCAAUUUUUAACAGUAAAAAUGGAUAGAAUUUUUAACA
This 145-nucleotide microRNA precursor is filed under the name Gossypium arboreum. RNAcentral describes it as "MIR7502 microRNA precursor family". It matches the Rfam family "MIR7502 microRNA precursor family". The record is from Rfam by way of RNAcentral. Lineage: Eukaryota; Viridiplantae; Streptophyta; Magnoliopsida; Malvales; Malvaceae.